Molecule: long non-coding RNA, 1725 nt
Organism: Osmia lignaria (orchard mason bee)
Lineage: Eukaryota; Metazoa; Arthropoda; Insecta; Hymenoptera; Megachilidae
Source: RefSeq, a predicted model, not a curated record
ACACGUAUUUCAUAUUUUAUUUCGACAAACAUUGUCAACGAACGAGUUUCGGUUAUUGUAUCUCUGCGCAUGCGCCUGACGCAUGCGCAGAAUUUACAGUGUGCGCGCAUUUUGGAAUUUUCAAAUUCUAUGUACUUUAGGACAACUCGACUAAUAUUACAUAAUGACAGGCAGAAAAUAUAGCAUAUAUGUGCAUUUCCAUCCGAAUCAUAUAUGGAGGCGCUACCCUAUCGGAUAGCCAUCGGCGCGAGCAAUCUGGCAUGCGCGGCCGUUCUCGUGAAUGGGCACGGCUCGUGGACCAAGCGGCGGCCGUAUGAAUGAAAUAGUAAAUAUAAUUGACAGAAGGGCAGGCGUGGGCAGGCCAGUCAGAACAGGCAAGCAGAAACAGGCGGAACGAGGUGCAAGACGGGAACGGCGUUUUAUACGCGGCAGGCGUAGGAUCGAGAAAAUAUUAGGACAAAUGAAACUUUUACUAGAAAGUAACGAGGGUGAUACCGUGCCAGCUGUUUGCACUGAUCUCUCGUUAACUUUCUCAUGAUCCAUGCAGCUAUCCAAAUGAGCGUUGAUAACGUUUAACGUAGCUGUGAAUUGCUUGUUUACCUACGUCAAGAGGCGAAGGCUUAGGUGAGCCGUAAAAUUUCGGUUCCCCCUUUGGUCAGCUGGUUCCAGGGACUCGUCAUAAAAGUUUGGCCCAUCACCGUUAGGCUGACGGUGUCGCAACUCGACUACGGUAGUCAAAUUAAUCGUCGUUACGGAAACGGAAGAACCCUGAAGAUUUCUAUUUCUAUUAGGGCCUUUGUACGCGAGCGGUAAGUAGGAUUCCCUGUAGGUCCUGCCAGGUUAAAGCGUUACGUGACGAUGAAGACAGAUCCGCCCUCGGUCGCGGGUACUGGCUGUGGAGAACGUUGAAGGAGAGCUGCGCCAGUUCUUGGCCGGUCGGUCUGCCUUUUCUCUCCUCCCUUCUCCCCCGACUCCCUUCCCCGUCGAGUCGUCGAGUGACGACCAAAGACGGUAGGAAGGUACGGUUUCCGGUCGCCCACGCGACAACCUAGCCGGAGCUCUCUCGCGUCAGGCAGCGGCGUUGUGAAAAUCCUCUCGAUUCAGGUGUCCGGAUAGCGCUCACGGAGUGGUAAACCUGGCGCAACACCCUGCCACUAUGGUGGGGAGGGCACCAUGAUCCAAGCAAGAUGGAGAACAAUUUGUAGAUUUCUAUUCCUGCCGAUACAUCGAUCUAUGUUCUCGAGCACCCUACGUCUGAUCAACCUUUUCGACACCAUACCUCUAAUGAAAUAGUUUUCAACUAUAUGGAAACACGAAUUUCUUCAGGAAGUAUCAAUACGAGCAACGACUUUCAUUUGCUAUGAGAAACACGACGGAUAUGCUUCUCGAGACAACUGGAGCGUCGCGUUUUAAUCUUACCAUUUGUCGAGAGACAGUGGAGCGACUGCGUCUCGAGUUUCUCCUUUUUCAAAUUCGUUUCCUCGGACAAUUAGCUUUCCUUUCGCUCGUUCGCUUUCCAGCUUCGAUUGCUCAACGAGCAAUAAUUACAUUCGAACGUUACACGUCGCGAACGUAUCGGGAGAGCAGCUCGCUAGGGGUUGAUUCGAGGCAUUGUCGGUGGAACGUUGUUUGGCCGUUGUCGAGCACGGCGGGACGCACGAUUAAUGAUACGUUUCAUACUCGUUUUCGUUCAUUGUCGAUGCUAAUCGAUUACUGGCCUCGCGA